AACGGCAUGGUCGUUGGAACUUUGUACAGGGAGAAAUUCGGUUUGUAGUGCACAGGGGUCAGAGUGGUCAUACCCUAAAACAGGGGAGACUUUAACUAAUAAACUGUACUAUUUGGCUUAACCAAAAAUUCUGAAAAUUUUAUGGAAGAAAUUAAAAUAAGUCUAGUUUCAGGGAAAAUUAACAAAACUUAAUUCGUAGUUUCGUAGCUCUAGAUAUAAAUAAUUUAGUGACUGUUGCUCAG
RNAcentral lists this long non-coding RNA (242 nucleotides) under Gossypium barbadense (sea-island cotton). Its description in RNAcentral is "long non-coding RNA (GBAR_LNC007352)". The record is from RNAcentral. Lineage: Eukaryota; Viridiplantae; Streptophyta; Magnoliopsida; Malvales; Malvaceae.